Molecule: non-coding RNA, 73 nt
Organism: Ailuropoda melanoleuca (giant panda)
Lineage: Eukaryota; Metazoa; Chordata; Mammalia; Carnivora; Ursidae
Source: Rfam
GCCUGGCUGGCUCAGUUGGUAGAGCAUGUGACUCUUGAUCUCAGGGACAUGAGUUCAAGCCCCACGUUGGGUA